Molecule: non-coding RNA, 2143 nt
Organism: Coturnix japonica (Japanese quail)
Lineage: Eukaryota; Metazoa; Chordata; Aves; Galliformes; Phasianidae
Source: RefSeq, a predicted model, not a curated record
CCCGCCCCGCUCUGCCUCUGCCCGCCGGCCUCGGUGCUACCGCUGACCUUCCUAGAAUUGCCCGCUGGCUGGGCAGCCUGGGGGCCUGCAGGGGUUAUUCUGUCCUCUUGCUCUCUACCUGGACUGUGACAAAGGUUUCUGGGUUCGCACGCUUUGUUCUGCACUCCUCUCCACAAGCAGCAGUCCUGGCUGGCUGUCCCAGCUGCAUUUCAGUGUUCCCUGGAAGAUGGAUUGUAUGCUUCUUCCUCCCUUUAAAGAAAACCAGGUGGGCUUUGCUUCACCUCCAAGACAGACACCUCAGAGAUAAAGAUCACCCUCCUCACUGUUCCAUGCUGAGGGAAAAGCAGAGGAGUAAGCACAGAGAGAUGCAUCAAAACUACCUCUCCUGUGAAGAAAGGCUGAAGGAGUUGGGCUUGUUCAGCUUGGAGAAGGCUCCGGGGAGACUUCGUUGCAGCCUUGCAAGGGGAGAAUGACUUUCUAUGUGGUCUUGUAGUGAUUGGACAAGGGGGAAUGGCUUUAAGGUGAGGAUGGAUGGAAUCACCUGAACAGUUCCAGAUAGAAUUCCAUGCUCAAAAGCCACACUGUGGGCCAAACUGCAUUUCCAGAAAAGGUGUGUACAUCUUAAUCCUUUGUAAUUCAUUCUGAGUCAUUAGCCCUGUAGGAAUGAACAUCUGUGCUUGGCCUUUAGGGAACUGAGCUGGAGGCACCACUGACAGAAAGCAAAGAAAAUGAAGUCUGUAGCAGACCCAGUGCCACUCAGAAAUGUUUUAGUUGCUCAUCACUAUUCCUUUGCCUCGGGCUCUUUAGGACUGGUUUGACACUGAGUCCUCAGGUAGUGAAAUGCUGAAGUAAGCAGAACUGUGUCUGUAAUAUGCCUAAUAUAAAGGAACCUGUUCCUGAUUAGAUCCUUGAGUAGUGCUGGAGUAAUUGGUUCCUGCCUGGUGGCUCAUGUAUCAAGGGAAGUAUCUCCAUCCAUUUAGAUUCUCUGGCUCUGUAUUUGGGAGCUGUUAUUUGGGUCCCCUGGGAAUUUUCAGGUGCUGUCACACUGAACUGAAAUUCAUACCUGGAGUGCUUACCUGCUGCUAGCAGACACAUGCAGUUUGCAUUUCUUUCUGCCUCCCCAGCAGUAACAGCUGGCAACAGAAAACCAGUGGCUGUACUGCUGGUGCAGCACGCAAAUAUGUUCUGUGUUCAGACAGAAAUCUCAUCAUAGUGUAAAUCCAUUUCCUUGAGCUGUUACAGAACAAUUCCUCUCGCUGCCAGAACAUUGCCUGCAGAGGGCAGCACGACCUAGUGUUUUACUCUAGUGCUCAAGUGGAGAAUUCACUCAGCUGAUCGCAUCUCUGCCCAUCAGCGUCACUUGCUAUGGAAUAAACAACUGAAUAUUGUGGAGAAUCUGCAUCAGCCCAAACCUCAAAAGGCAUGUCCUGAGUCCGUGUGAAACAACCACCACAGUUUUAAUGAGAUUUUGCCUGAAAACGUGCCUGGAUGCAGGUGUGUGCUUUAACUGCAGAAAUGAUUGGUGCCAGGAUUGAGGCUGCACCAUGACGAGGGAUAAGGCAUUCAGUUCCUGAAGAAGAGCCAGUACUUUGUGUCUCUCAAAUCAAAUUGCAUCCAACAGCUGAUUAUGAAGUGAUCUUGAUAUGUGCUGAAGGGAGUCCUGUCUAUACUUCUCAGCCAGCAAGCCCUGUGAAAUGGUGAUCAGAAUAGAAAAUAAAUAUGAAGAAAAUAGCUUUUUAGGAAUGAAGAGAGCAUGAACAAUGUCUGAAUUCCAGGUGUGUGAGAAGAAACCUGAGUAUCCCUUAUGGACAAAUGUCAAGUACUUUAACACCAAUGAAGAUAAUUAAAUUCUUUGGGCCCAGACUUCUACUGCAUAAGCCUGGCUGUACAUGGCACAGUGUAUGUACUUCUUAGAGUGUGGCUCAUUAACAUCACAACUGUCAAUCAAUGAAUUUUUGCUGAUGGUUCCUACAACUUUCUCAACGUAUCAGAGUGCUGAGAGAUUUUAAUUCUGGUUUAUUCAUAAUAUUCUUUGAUAUUCUUGCUGUUAUUUGUGAACACUGUGCACUUUGGCCAUGAAAAUGCUUGUCACAAUUUACAUUGCUGUAGAAGAUACUCUAUAUAAAAAUGCUUCCACGUUUAA